GCCAGCAUAGCAUAGCGGUUUGAGUGUUAGACUACAACUCUGAAGACCAGGGUUUGAUUCCCACCUCGGCCA
Non-coding RNA from Phrynosoma platyrhinos (Desert horned lizard), 72 nucleotides. The record is from the annotation of a GenBank genome assembly. NCBI's taxonomy places the organism in Eukaryota, Metazoa, Chordata, Lepidosauria, Squamata, Phrynosomatidae.